GUCAAAAUAUGGAAAUGGAAUAUGGAAAAAUCAAACCAACAGCCAAUAUAUUUAAUUUCUUACUCCAGAAGUUUGAGCAGCUCUUGUUUCCCAGACCAUGGCCCAUCAGCUUGUACAUCCUCCUGAGAUGGACUUGUGGCUUUUCUUACCAUCAGCAGGGAAAAAAAGGUAUUUUAUGUUUAUUUACAUAAUACAGAAACAUGAAUAUUGACAAUUAUUCAAUUCUUUAGUAAUGAGUAUUUUACUAUUGGAUUUAUAUGUUGGUUGAGGGUGGUUGGUGUGCUGGACAGUUUUGUGCCAUGUCAGAAAUGCAGGAAAAGUUCUGUGAACAUGAGGCUUUAAAGACUUUUCACUGGAGAGAACAGAUGUUUACAGAUGCUGCCCUCACUAAAGCAGCUCCAGUUAAACCAAUAAGGCCAGUAAUUAGGCUGGUUUAUAAAUGUCCAGGCAGUCCUUGAAUAAAAUGGAAUGGGACUUAGAAUUAAGGAUAUUCCCAAAAGGAGUAAAUCCAAGAGACUGUGGUUUUCACGUUCUUAGGAUGGCUGAGGGUGUCACAUACAGUUAUUUACUUCCAAAUACCCACCUUUAUUUUCGUGGUGCAAAGGAAUAUUGUUGAGCCCCAAGGAGAAGACUGGGUAAAAACAGGUUCUUCUGGAGCAAGAGGGCUUGUCUCCUUUUUUAUCUCUUUCAUUCCAACCAGCAGAUCACUGGAGAUUGUUCUUGAUUUGCUCUUGCCAGAGAUUGUCCCUCUUUAUUAAUGUAAUAAUAGAGAGAUUUAAUUAGAGCACAUUCUUUAUUACACUUCCCACACCGUCAGCAACAAAAGGGGCGAGGAGAGCAGAUCAUAAACUGUGUCAUCCUAUGGGGUCACUCCAUCAGCUCUGCUCUGCAGGGCACGGAGCAAGGGCAUGGAAAAUGGGCAGCCCAGAGGAGGGGCAGGAGGAGGGAAUAAUAGACAUUCUCAUCACUGGCUUAGAUCUGCUCCUCUUUAAGUCAAAGGCAGUUUUAAUAUAGUGAGAUUAAUUCUGGCCUCUUUUGCAAACACUGUGAGCAGAGCAGGAUCCUAAUAACGUGGAUAUAAGUCUGAAGGAAGGGCCUUAAGUGGCAGUGAAGUUUGAUGGCGACGUCUGAGGUGACAGUAAUGCCUUUUAAAGUUUUUUCCCUCUAGGUCACCACUCCAAAUCCAGUCUAGGUCGUUACUGGCACAGAGUCAUUAUCAUCUCAUGAAUGUCAUCAAAUGGCACUCAAAAUGUUAAGUAUCCUGUUCUCCAAUUGAUACAUGGGAAGUCUUGCUGUCAGUGUUCUGUAGGAUCAGUGAGCAGCUCAUUGCGUCGCUCUUCGCCCGCAGCCUCUCAUUUUAUCACAUCCAAUAUCACAGCCCCUGCCAAGGAGAUGUUGAUAACCUGUGUCUAACCAGCCUCCUCAUUUGAAAGCUCUUAGUCUCUAAUAUAGGCCAAACAAUUUAUUUGUUUUGUCUCCAAUAUGAUUUUCUUCCUGUCCUUGUCUUGCAUUAACACCUCCCCUGACUUUCUCUAUUCUGCAGGUUGUUUGGUGCAGUGGAUAUUCACUGCCAGGGGGCAAAUAAUUAAGCUCAAACACUGGUUUUCAUCCCUUUUAUUUCUCCUGCUGUUACUUGUAGAGGUGGUUGGAGGGAAGCAGUGUUGACUUCAGCAAUUUAUUAUGUCCAUCCAAAGUUUCAAGACACAAUUAAUCAGGACUGUUAAUCCAGUCACAAUGAUGCUUAAAAAUUAGCACAGGAAAGCCUUGUCAAUGAAACAUUUUAAAUUGUUUUAUACGAAAAUUUUUGUACAUUUCUUGAAAUGUCAACAGCUUCAGCCUUUGUGAGGAGGGAUGGGGAAGGUGGUUCAGGGAUGUUCAUGGUGGGGAUUUCUUCCUUCUCUGUUUUGGGACCACUUGUGUUCAUCUCUAUAUAUUAAAAUUUACUGUAAGUUCUUAUCCCCUUUACUAUUUGUGUUGCAUCUCAGCUGCAGUUUGAAAACUUCACAGCAGGUUCUCCAGCCUCAUGGGACGUGAAGGAGGAUGGUUUGUUACCUGGUGACAAUGUGAGUUUGUCAGCCUGUGGCCAUGUUUACAGAGCAAGGGCAGGUGAGAUGUAUUUGCUGACCAGUGCUGAGGUUUUAACCACCACCAUCACUGCUGGAAAAGGCUCUGCUGAAGCUGUGGCCCUUUGGGAAGGUGUCCCUCCUUUGGGAAGGUGACUCUCCUUUGGGCCAAGAGCUCUCUCUCCAUUUCCUAGAGAAGAAAUAGAGGGCACACAGCUGGAAAGAGUAACGAGGAAGAAGCCAAGGAACUGCAGAAAUGUCUUUAAGACAUGAAAAAUUAUUAUUUCUUUAAAACAGGACACAGAACUGAGAUGAAAACUAACAAGGCUUUUUUUUCAGAUACAGUAGAAAGAACCUGUGAAGACUUUUUUCUUUUUCUCCUUUUUUUUUUUCCUUUGUGACCCAGAGAUUCUAAAAUCCUUUUCAAAUAGGAUUAUACUCUCAAGCCUCACUUUUCCAGUUUCCUUCCAUCUUAGUCCUGUUUCUCCAAAGGCUCGUGCUGGUGUGAGUGGAACAGUUGCUUUUAUAGCCAAGGUGCUUUUUUCCCAUCCCCAGUGCAGGCAGGGCUGGAAAUGGAGAGCUAUUAAAAGCCUUGCUCCCAAUUCCUGUGGUGAAUCCCGGGUCAGCUGUUGGAAAGGAAGGACAUUUGAGGUAAGUGGGUGCUUCUCUUGUCAUAGAGAACAAACCAGUGUUUAAAAUAGGGAGAAAGAUCCCUCUGCGGAGAUUUUUCUUGGGAAGAAAAAAAUCACUUCUGAGUUCAAUUUUGCAUGGAAAUUAAGGAUAAAAUCCGUGCAUUUGGGUAAUAAUGACAGUUGCCAUGGAAGUGCAGUGGUGCUUCUGUGGGACCCACAUGCCCACGGAAUAAUGAACUCUCAGAUCCCUUUUUUCAGGGUAUUUGUUUGCUCCAAGCCCAAAGGAGGUGGCUACACAGACUAGAAUUCCUCUGGCUUUGGGAAAACACACGGGAAGGAGUGAAACAAAUCUAGUUCCAUGCUCUGGAGCUACUGGGAAUUAAUUUCAAGUCUUUGGUACCUGAUGGUCGUUUUCAUUUCAGUAUGGAAAAGCAGUAAACCUGGAAAAUUACAGAUUUUGUGCCUGACAGGGACAAGGAACACACAGCAGGUUCUUCUGAAAGAUUUUAUACAUGUAAAAGGAUGGAAAUAAAGGCAGAAGCUGAAGCAGAUUCCAAACAAAAGCAGGAGGAGGAUGAUUUACUGUGAGCUGUAAUGAGGAAUGGACUCCCAGGUCCAUAAAUUCGAGUGAAUGAGUAUUGGAUGGUCCCUUUCCAGCUCUUUCAGGGCUUCAGAGAAAAGGAUCCAGCUACAGUGGAAAUAAAUCAAAUAAGCAGCACAAGGUAUCUCCUCUCGAUGUUUUCCAGCUGAAACCCUACACUAGAGCCAGAGAAUCAUAGAAUAUCCUGAACUGGAAGGGACCCACAAAGAUCAUCAAAGUCCAGCUCCUCACCCUGCUCAGGACAAUGCCAAGAAUCCCACCCUGAGCCUCACAGCAUUGUCCAAAUGCAUGUUUUAGCAAGUCAUAGGGAGCCACAGCAGCACAUCCUGACUCAUGGGACGCUCCCUGCUUGAUCAGCCAUGACACCACAACCCAGUGGUGACUUCUGUGAGAGCAAAUCCAGACUCUCACAACUUCCCAGCAGGAGUUGCUGGUGAAAAACCUCCAUGGAGAGGGAGAAGAAUCAGCAGAG
Pseudopipra pipra is the source of this 3768-nucleotide long non-coding RNA. RefSeq lists it as uncharacterized. The transcript is spliced from 5 exons. The record is from RefSeq and is a predicted model, not a curated record. NCBI's taxonomy places the organism in Eukaryota, Metazoa, Chordata, Aves, Passeriformes, Pipridae.